AUGGUGCCGUUGUGUCAUUGUGUGUCAUUGUGUUAUUGUGUCCUUGUGUCAUUGUGUCACUGUGUGCUGGUGUGUGAUUGUGUCAUUGUGUCGUUGUGUCGUUGUGUGCUGGUGUGUUAUUGUGUCGUUGUGUCGUUGUGUCAUUGUGUCGUUGUGUCGUUGUGUGCUGGUGUGUUAUUGUGUCGUUGUGUCGUUGUGUCAUUGUGUCGUUGUGUUGUUGUAUCAUGGUGUCAUUGUGUGUUGGUGUGUUAUUGUGUCCUUGUAUCAUUGUGUCACUGUGUGCUGUUGUGUCAUUGUGUUGCUGUGUUGUUGUGUCAUUGUGUGCUGAUGUGUCAUUGUGUUGUUGUGUCAUGGUGUCGUUGUGUCAUUGUGUGUCAUUGUGUCAUUGUGUGCUGGUGUGUUGUUGUGUCGUGUCAUUGCGUCCUUGUGUCGCUGUGUUAUUGUAUCAUUGUGUCACUGUGUGCUGGUGUGUCGUUGUGUCCUUGUGUCGUUGUGUCGUUGUGUCAUUAUGUGCUGGUGUGUCAUUGUGUCGUUGUGUCAUUCUGGCAUUGUGUCAUUGUGUUAUUGUGUCACUGUAUCAUUGUGCCGUUGUGUCAUUGUGUGCUGGUGUGUUAUUGCGUCACUGUGUUGUGUCACUGUGUCGCUGUAUCGUUGUGUCGUUGUGUCCUCAUGUCGUUGUGUCAUGUGGUUGUGUCCUUGUGUCAUUGUAUCGUUGUGUUCUCAUGUCGUUGUGUCAGUGUGUCACUGUAUCGUUUGCAUCGUUGUGUUGUUGUGUCCUCAUGCCAUUGUGUCAUGUGGUUGUAUCAUUGUGUCAUUGUAUCGUAUUGUUGUGUCAUGUUGUUGUGUCACUGUGUCACUGUAUCGUUUGUAUCGUUGUGUCGUUGUGUCCUCAUGUCGUUGUGUCAGUGUGUCACUGUAUCGUUGUAUCGUUGUGUUGUUGUGUCCUCAUGUCGUUGUGUCAUGUGGUUGUAUCGUUGUGUCAUUGUAUCGUUGUGUUCUCAUGUCGUUGUGUCAGUGUGUCACUAUAUCGUUUGCAUCGUUGUGUUGUUGUGU
Molecule: long non-coding RNA, 1053 nt
Filed under: Chrysolophus pictus (golden pheasant)
Lineage: Eukaryota; Metazoa; Chordata; Aves; Galliformes; Phasianidae
Description: lncRNA (ENSCPIG00010000004.1)
Source: RNAcentral